RNAcentral lists this long non-coding RNA (2071 nucleotides) under Macaca fascicularis (crab-eating macaque). RNAcentral describes it as "lncRNA (ENSMFAG00000052635.1)". Lineage: Eukaryota; Metazoa; Chordata; Mammalia; Primates; Cercopithecidae. The record is from RNAcentral.
ACAGUUAAGUCUAAUAACAGAAUUGUGGUUUUAUUUAACAGUCCUUAUCUUUUAGACAUACAUAUUGAAAUAUUUACAAAUGAAAUGAUUCACUAUCUGGGAUUUGCUUCAAAAUAAAUAGGGGUUCAAAGAUGAAUGGCAUUUAGAUAAAUCAAGAAUGAACUGAUCAUGUUAAAAUGAGUUCAUUAUGCAAUUCUCCUUUUACAUGUAUCUUACAUACCCCAUUAAAAUUUUUAAAAAGCACUCACUCCAGUGUCUCCUAGGUAUAAGAACACAGGCGGCUGGCAGCAACUGAACGGUAUCAACUAAAUUUUUAUAAAUUCAAAGAGUCAUUAAUUCUCAGUUAUCUCAAAAGUAAAAUCUCUGGGAAACUUAAUAUUAAGACAGUAACUAUCUGCACACAGUAAUGUGUAUAAAAUUUAAUUACCACCACCAGUCACAGGCUAGUCGAGCAGCUGUAUCAACCAUGGUACAAACAGUAACAGAGCAAAAGCACCAGUCAUCAGCACCACUCUUCACUGACACAUUUCUUCUCACCAGAGAUCACUGAGGGACUGGAACCCCCAUCGGAAGUAUUAUUACUACCCUCACUGACUACAGAAAAUACUACCUUCAAGAGAGUACGUGUCUACAGUAACUAAUUUUACAGCAAUCCCUCAGGCCACUUGAAACUCACUCAAAUUGCACAUCCAAUCAAUACAUGAGUUGGGAUGCCUAGGCGUAACUUACACACAUAAAAUAUAUACCCACCAGAAUGGCUGUCAUCAGAAAGACAACAAGUAUUGGCAAGGAUGUGGAGACACUGCAGCCCGCAUGCACCUGGCAGGAAUAGCUCUAAAAGUACAGUCAGUUUGGAAAAAGUUUAGCAGUUUUUUAAAACGUUAAAUAUAAAUUUACCACACAACCUGACAAUUCCACAACUAGGAAUCUGAGAUGAAAACAUGUCCACACAAAGACGUAUUUAUGAAUCUUCAUAGCAUUGUUAUUCACAAUUUUAAAAUAGGCCAGUCAAAUGUCUAUCAACUGGUGAAUGGAUAAACAAAAUGUUGUAUAUCCAAACAGUGAACACUAAAUCAGCAACUAAAGGAACUACACGCAGGUGUAAGCUACAACAUGGAUGAACCUCAAAAACAUGCUAAGUGAAAGAUGCCAGAUAUAAAAGACUAACUGCAUGAUUCUAACUCUGUGAAAUUUCUAGAAAGGGUAAAUCUGUACAGAAAGCAGAUCAGUGUGGCUGCCUGGGGCUGGAGGUAGGAGUGAAUUAACUGCAGAGCAGCAUGAGUAACUUUUGGGGGCUGAUGGAAAUGUUCUAAAACUGGAUUGUACAAUUCCUAAGUUUACUAAAACCAAUUAAUUGUACAUUUACAAUCGGUGAAUUUUACAGUGUGUAAAUUAUACAAAGCAAUUUUUUAAGUACCAUUGUAACAAAGUCUUAGAAAUCACUAUUUUAAAGCUCUGGCUCAAAGCUCAUUCAUUUGAUAUAUUCAACACAACAAACUCUAAUAUACUACUAGGAUUAAGAAUAUUAGCAUUUCCUUGAAAACUAAACACACUACUUUCAAAGGAUUCCAAGUACACCCAUCUCUAAAUCUUACUGAUUAAACAUUGCUCUUUUAGCUAUAAGUCAUGUGACAAAAUCACUGUUAACGAUUGAAUUAGCAUUGUCCCUUAGCCAUUUCAUUAAUUUGUCUUCCCCCAACCUUGUGCCCUAUGGUAUAUCUUUUUGUAAGAAUCUCUUGCUUGCUAUUGGAUAUUGCCCAAGUUUUCCAUCAGAUAUAAGGUUUUCUCAGAAUAUUUCAUAACCGGAAAUAAAAUUGUAAUACUCAUAUGAACAUGUAUUUGAAUACAUAUAUACUUUUUAAAUAUAAAAGGAAUAUGUUCCUUUUAGUUUGUUUGCUCAUUAAGCCACUUACAUGAUGCCCCUAAGUUUCAAACACUUCACUGUUUCCCAUCAGGCUUUGCUUUUACGACGUGGGUUCAAAAUUCUUCUUUUCAAAGCAGUGCUGCCUUCAGUGACCAAGCUGGCAUGAUUUUUAGUCAGACGCCAUUUCUUUCCAUUCCUCUGACAGAU